GUUCGAGGCACUGACCAUGGGCAAUUAGUUAACGUGCGGCGCUUGUAAUAGAAACUAAUAGCCACUCCCAUUUCAAUUCCUAUUUCUAUCGCCAUUCCCCAUAAAGGCAUUCCGAAAACACGCAUUCUCGUCUAACAACUUCAAAGAGGCCGUCUCGACAGCGGACCGGGGGUACUUUUAAUUAGCUGUGUAAAUUGGUCAACGAAAAUGAAAUUAAUUAGCCUAAGCGAUGUUAAUAACUUUAUCGGCGUUGACAACUUUAUUGGCCAUCAACUGGAGACUGGACUUUGAUUGUUAGUUGUGAUGAGAACAGAUUGGAUUGGAUAGUGAAGCAUUUAAGAUGAGGGAAGAUU
This is a non-coding RNA of Drosophila melanogaster (fruit fly), 353 nucleotides long. The record is from Ensembl. Lineage: Eukaryota; Metazoa; Arthropoda; Insecta; Diptera; Drosophilidae.